Molecule: long non-coding RNA, 319 nt
Filed under: Mytilus galloprovincialis (Mediterranean mussel)
Lineage: Eukaryota; Metazoa; Mollusca; Bivalvia; Mytilida; Mytilidae
Source: RNAcentral
GGUCAUAGUGGUAUAUUGGUUACUUGCCUGUGUGGUCAUAGUGGUAUAUUGGUUACUUGCUGGUGUGGUCAUAGUGGUAUAUUGGUUACUUGCCGGUGAAGUCAUAGUGGUAUAUUGGUUACUUGCCAGUGUGGUCAUAGUGGUAUAUUGGUUACUUGCCGGUGGGGUCAUAGUGGUAUAUUGGUUACUUGCCGGUUUGGUCAUAGUGUUAUAUUGGUUACUUGCUGGUGUGGUCAUAGUGGUAUAUUGGUUACUUGCUGGUGUGGUCAUAGUGGUAUAUUGGUUACUUGCCUGUGUGGUUCAUAGUGGUAUAUUGGUU